CUUCAGGCAGUCCAAAAUAUUAGUCAAUGCUCGAAAGAGUGAACUAGCUAACUGAAAUCAAUAAUAAUAAUUGAUAACAUAAGGGAAAAUAAUGAUAUUACCUUAUUAUUAGUGUCGUCCAAAGCUGGUGCCAGAAGACUCGGUAAGGCCAGAGACACAAACGUUAAUCGUCUUAAUCAGGCGUAAAGGGUUUGUAGGCGGCUUUAAAAUCUACUUAUAGAAAUUAAAAAAAAUAAGUAAAGAAUAAAAGCUAGAAUCAAAUAGAGGAUAAAUGAAAGAAUGCUUAGAGUAGGUCUGAUAUCCUUAGAUACUAAGUAGAAUAUUAAAGGCGAAAGCUUUUUUCCAUUAAUGAUUGACGCUCAGAAACGAAGGUGAGGAUAGGAAAUAGGAUUAGAUACCCAGAAUACCCCUCUCUGUCAACGAUGAAUGGUAGUUAUUAGUAAAAAUUUAUUAAUGGCAAUGUUAACACGAUAACCAUUCCGCCUUGUGAGUACAACUGCAAAGUUGAAAACAAAAAAAUUAGUCGGUUUCGGAGCAAACGAAGUGAAGCAUGUUAUUUAAUUCGAUAAUCCGCA
This 575-nucleotide ribosomal RNA is filed under the name Russula sp. RNAcentral describes it as "SSU rRNA". It matches the Rfam family "Bacterial small subunit ribosomal RNA", at positions 342 to 963 of the family's 1533-position model. The record is from RNAcentral. Lineage: Eukaryota; Fungi; Basidiomycota; Agaricomycetes; Russulales; Russulaceae.